UCUCUCUCUCUAUCUCUCUCUCUCUAAUUUGUCUGAUCUGUUGUUCUGACCUCCAAUCUUGAGUUUCAGUUUCAUUGCCCUGUACGAUCAUCAAGGCGUGACCUCCGUCAGCCUAGACAACGCCAAUUCAAGAUUACGCUAUUAUAUUUCUGUAAUCUCUGGCUUUUUAUGCGUUCAAUAUUGGGAUAUGAUGUUCCCACAAAUUUGCAGCCAUGGAGAGGCGGCGAAUCUACGAUAUCAUUAAUGUCCUCUAGAGCGUUGGGGUUCUUGCGCGAAAGGCAAAGAAUCAGUAUUCUUGGAAAGGAUUUGGGGCAAUCUCUAAUGCUAUACAGGAGCUUAAGUGGGUCUGAAAGAGAACUUCAAUACUUUCCAUGGCAAUUUUCCAGCAAUAAUGAUCCAAAAGUAAGUGAAAGGAUUGUUCUUUUGAUUUUGUAAUAAGUUUUUUUUUUUUUUUGGAAAUUUGGUUCGAUAUUUGAUUUUGACUUAUGAGCUUAUAGGUACUAGGUAGAAUCCAUCUCCCUUCAUGAAGCUGCAAGGUUAUUACUUGGGGAUGCAAACAAUGCAUUCAUAAUUACUUGCUAUUUUUUAUUCAAUUUUUUUUAUAGAAACUUGGUGUUUGAUUCUGGUAAUCAAGAUAUUGCUAUUUCUUCUUUUUUGGAACUAUGUUGAGCUUGUUGUGUAUGGUCCUCUGCAAUUUUUUCUUUUCAUCUUUAUUAUGUUAGUGUUGCUGAGUUGGCAGAACUAGGGCUGGUACCACAUGUCAUCACUCUCAGAUGAAGGUUUCGGGUAUUGUUGGGAUAUCAAGCUUGUUGGAGGAGUGAAUAUGGUCCAAUAGACUAUUAUGCUUGCAAAGCGGCCACACAUUAUUGUACUUAAUACUUUAUAUUCCCCUAAAGGUUGCUACACCUGGACGCCUUAUGGAUCAUGUAUCCAACAUAAAAGGAUUUUCUCUUCGCACGUUGAAUUAUUUAUUAGAAGUAAUAAUGAAAUAUGAAGAUAUGUGUUUGGAGUCUGCUAAGGAAUUCUCCCGUGUUUGAUAAGGUCAAGAAGCUGCAAAGGGACUGUCUUAAGGAACCCUGUGAAUCACUGACGAAUCUUACAAGAGUAUCACUUCUAGUAGUGUAUAGUUUCUUAUGGAUGUAUUUUUAACUUGUAAAUUUAUUGUACAAUACAUUUAAAAUACAAUACAAGAUCAUAUAUGCACCAAUUAUUUGGUGCCUUUUUUUUUAAUAUAGCCUACCAAUUUUGCCACU
This is a long non-coding RNA of Rosa chinensis, 1253 nucleotides long. RefSeq lists it as uncharacterized. The record is from RefSeq and is a predicted model, not a curated record. Lineage: Eukaryota; Viridiplantae; Streptophyta; Magnoliopsida; Rosales; Rosaceae. The transcript is spliced from 7 exons.